UGGUCAUGGGCGGAAGCCUGAACAGCCAUGCCGCGUGCAGGAAGACGGCCCUACGGGUUGUAAACUGCUUUUAUACCGGAAUAACCCUACUUACGUGUAAGUAGCUGAAUGUACGGUAAGAAUAAGGAUCGGCUAACUCCGUGCCAGCAGCCGCGGUAAUACGGAGGAUCCGAGCGUUAUCCGGAUUUAUUGGGUUUAAGGGUGCGUAGGUGGCUUUUUAAGUCAGGGGUGAAAGACGGUAGCUUAACUAUCGCAGUGCCUUCGAUACUGAAGAGCUUGAAUGAACUAGAGGUAGGCGGAAUGUGACAAGUAGCGGUGAAAUGCAUAGAUAUGUCACAGAACACCAAUUGCGAAGGCAGCUUACUAUGGUUUUAUUGACACUGAGGCACGAAAGCGUGGGGAUCAAACAGGAUUAGAUACCCUGGUAGUCCACGCCCUAAACGAUGAACACUCGAUGUUGGCGAUAUACGGUCAGCGUCUAAGCGAAAGCGUUAAGUGUUCCACCUGGGGAGUACGCCCGCAAGGGUGAAGCUCAAAGGAAUUGACGGGGGCCCGCACAAGCGGAGGAGCAUGUGGUUUAAUUCGAUGAUACGCGAGGAGCCUUACCCGGGCUUGGAAGUUAGUGAAUGAUACAGAGACGUAUCAGUUCUUCGGAACACGAAACUAGGUGCUGCAUGGCUGUCGUCAGCUCGUGCCGUGAGGUGUUGGGUUAAGUCCCGCAACGAGCGCAACCCCUAUGUUUAGUUGCCAGCAUGUAAAGAUGGGGACUCUAAACAGACUGCCUACGCAAGUAGAGAGGAAGGAGGGGACGACGUCAAGUCAUCAUGGCCCUUACGUCCGGGGCUACACACGUGCUACAAUGGCCGGUACAGAGGGGCAGCUACCUGGUAACAGGAUGCCAAUCUCAAAAAGCCGGUCACAGUUCGGAUCGGGGUCUGCAACUCGACCCCGGUGAAGUUGG
Molecule: ribosomal RNA, 961 nt
Filed under: uncultured Sphingobacteriia bacterium
Lineage: Bacteria; Pseudomonadati; Bacteroidota; Sphingobacteriia
Description: bacterial SSU rRNA
Rfam family: Bacterial small subunit ribosomal RNA
Source: RNAcentral